Brassica rapa (field mustard) is the source of this 874-nucleotide long non-coding RNA. RefSeq lists it as uncharacterized. Lineage: Eukaryota; Viridiplantae; Streptophyta; Magnoliopsida; Brassicales; Brassicaceae. The record is from RefSeq and is a predicted model, not a curated record.
GUUUGCCAAACAAAAGGUAUAAGUAGGGGUUAUUGGUUAUUGUAUUUUAAUGAAUUUGAAAAUCUGAACUAAAUCUAAUGUUAUUGGUUCUGUGAUUUACAAAUAUGUAUUAAAAUCAUGUGUUAUUGGUUUAAUUAUUCAUAAAUUCUAUAUCAAAUCAAGUGUUAUUCAAUCGUACGGAUUUACUAAUGGAUUUGAUUUUAUAAUGGAUUUGAAUGAAUUUAUUUGGAUUUUGUAGUUAAAAAUAAAAAGAUUCAAAUCUGAGAAAAAACCUCUGAAUUUGCAUAUUUUAUUUGCAUUUAUAAAUACUAUAUGGAUUUCUAAAUCAACCUAAAUAUAUAAACCAAUAACACCUAUACAAAAGGUUGAUUUAAUAAUUUUGAAAUAUCUAUCGUUCUACUACAUCUUGUACAACCAAGAUUAUGUUAGCAAAUCUCUCUUAAUAUUAUGCAAAUUGUCAGCUAAAAGCAAAUUUCAAAACUAAAGAAGGAUGCUGAGUUACGAGAAAACCCAAAAGAAAGGAUGAUGAGUUAAGUCCUUCAGUGUUGACAAGGGCUUUUAUGAUUAAUGUGAAAACUCUUGAACAAAAUCAUACAACACAAAGGAUCCUCAAGAAAUUUUUAAAAGGAUCCCACCCUCGAGGUUCAGGCUUAUAGUAAAACAUCAUCAUCAAAAGGGAAAUGAAAUAAUAUAGAAAACCAAAGAAUAAUAAUAAUAGUCGAGCCUAUUUCAAAAUAUGGUUAUAAGAAAUGAUUUAACACCACACAAACCCAAAAUUCUUCUUCUCCACGUUCAUGCCUCACACUUUUCGUCCACUCUUAUUAACGAAUGGUUGGUUGGACACACUUUAGAACUCAAACUUACAAGAACGCAA